This 443-nucleotide ribosomal RNA is filed under the name uncultured bacterium. Its description in RNAcentral is "partial 16S ribosomal RNA". It matches the Rfam family "Bacterial small subunit ribosomal RNA", at positions 28 to 507 of the family's 1533-position model. The record is from RNAcentral.
GAUGAACGCUGGCGGCAUGCCUAACACAUGCAAGUCGAUCGGUAAGGCUCUUCGGAGUACACGAGAGGCGGACGGCUGAGUAACGCGUAGGAACACACCCUGCAGUGAGGGAUAAGACACCGAAAGGUGUUCUAAUACCGCAUACGGUCUUCGGAUUAAAGCAUUUAUGCGCUGAAGGAGUGGCCUGCGUCAUAUUAGAUAGUUGGUGAGGUAAUGGCUCACCAAGUCGAUGAUGUGUAGCUGGUCUGAGAGGAUGAUCAGCCAGACUGGAACUGAGACACGGUCCAGACUCCUACGGGAGGCAGCAGUGAGGAAUAUUUCACAAUGAGCGAAGGUUUGAUGGAGCAAUGCCGCGUGCAGGAUGAAGGCCCUCGGGUUGUAAACUGCUUUUAUAAGAGAAGAUUAUGACGGUAACUUAUGAAUAAGGGACGGCUAACUACGUG